CAGGUAUGGUUAAGUGGUAUAACAUCAGCUUCCCAAGCUGAAUUUGCGGGUUCGAUUCCCGCUACCUG
RNAcentral lists this transfer RNA (68 nucleotides) under chicken gut metagenome. It matches the Rfam family "tRNA". From Rfam's summary of the family: Transfer RNA (tRNA) molecules are approximately 80 nucleotides in length. Their secondary structure includes four short double-helical elements and three loops (D, anti-codon, and T loops). Further hydrogen bonds mediate the characteristic L-shaped molecular structure. tRNAs have two regions of fundamental functional importance: the anti-codon, which is responsible for specific mRNA codon recognition, and the 3' end, to which the tRNAs corresponding amino acid is attached (by aminoacyl-tRNA synthetases). tRNAs cope with the degeneracy of the genetic code in two manners: having more than one tRNA (with a specific anti-codon) for a particular amino acid; and 'wobble' base-pairing, i.e. permitting non-standard base-pairing at the 3rd anti-codon position. The record is from RNAcentral.